RNAcentral lists this long non-coding RNA (877 nucleotides) under Callithrix jacchus (white-tufted-ear marmoset). Its description in RNAcentral is "lncRNA (ENSCJAG00000081611.1)". Lineage: Eukaryota; Metazoa; Chordata; Mammalia; Primates; Cebidae. The record is from RNAcentral.
GGUGUUUCAUUACUUUGACUUGAGGCUUAAUGUGGUCUCUUUCUGUUAGGGCCUAGGCCUUGUGCCAAGACUGUUGAGAUGCAAAUAUCCCCCUUCAUUGGUUUACUUAUUCAUUCACUCAUGCAUUCAUUCAACAAGCAGUGAGUGGCAGACACUGGGGAAACUGAGACACAGCAGGGCCCCAGCAGGGCUUUCUGGGAGGAGGAGCUGCUGGCAGAGCAGAGACAGGGAGGCUGGCAGUUAGGGUGCCUGAGACCCUGCAGGAAUAAGAAGUGGCCGGGAAAAGAGGCGAGUGGGAGGGGCAGGGUGGCUGCAUUGAAACCAGGCGUAAUUGGGCUUCAUUGAUUCUAUGUUAAUGCCGCUGGAGCACGCAGUGCUCGGCAGAAGGACCCAGCCGGGCCGGGUGGAUGCUCUGAGGCAAACAAAGCCCUCUUUGGGGACUUUGUUACUACAGGGAGAGCCAAGGAGGGUCCAGGAAUGAAACCAGUGGCUGUUUGAGGCCCACAUUCUCCGGGUGGAGUGAGUGGCGGGGGUCCAGGUAGUCCAGGAAAUAAACACGAGGUGUGACGCAGCCUGUGGGUGUCAUAGGCCGGGGAGCCUUCUGGGACUGUCCCCAGGCUGGGCCUCACAUGGGGAGAUCGGGCCCUGGGGGGCAGCGGGAGCAGGGUGCACAGUGCACCAGCAGAUGAUACAGUGUUCAAGGCACCAUCUCGGAAGCAGAGAAACCGGGUCCCAACCCGCCAGCACCUUGGACUUCUCGGCCUCCAGAAGUGUGAGCAGAUGUGUUUCUUCCUUGUAAAUCACCUACUCCCAGGUAUUCUGUGACAGCAGCACACAAGGGGCUAAGACAGCUGUGAACCUGAUUCUCCCCAGAACA